This 76-nucleotide small nucleolar RNA is filed under the name Tetranychus urticae (two-spotted spider mite). RNAcentral's name for it is "snoRNA tetur28g02617". The record is from RNAcentral. Lineage: Eukaryota; Metazoa; Arthropoda; Arachnida; Trombidiformes; Tetranychidae.
AAUUACUGUGAUGAUAAUUUCCACCAACACUGACCUACAGUGAUUAAAGUAACAAUGCACUACCAUCUGAGAGUUU